Myotis daubentonii (Daubenton's bat) is the source of this 9822-nucleotide RNA transcript. It is a transcript of the gene named APC membrane recruitment protein 1, with no coding region annotated. Lineage: Eukaryota; Metazoa; Chordata; Mammalia; Chiroptera; Vespertilionidae. The record is from RefSeq and is a predicted model, not a curated record.
CUGAACCGGCACCAGGAGCUCGCGGAGUCCCAAGCAGCCACUAGCCUGGCUUGGGGGCGAGAGUGAGGAGUCCCAGCGAGGGGUUCUGCACUCUCCUAGUCCCCAGCCAACACCAAGCUCAGGCUUAUUUGCAUUUAAAGAGAAAGGUAGGGAGAAAACAGUGGGCGGGUCAAAGCACGCCUUCCCACAUUGGCCAUUGGACCACACGCCUGCCAAUCAGGGCGCGGACGCCCCACCCUGUGGCUGUGGAGUUGGGGGGAAGGGGGGCAUGGAGAGCUGCCCUGAGUCUGGGGAAGGGGAGCCAGUGCAGGAGGUGACUGGAGCCACAGCGGCGGCAGAAGCAGCGGUGGCUGCUCUCUCAGCCACGGCAGCCGAGGAUACAGCCUGGGCCAAGGCGGCGCAGCAGACAAUAACCGGCUUGGAAAACGAACCGGGCUGGGCCCAACUAUGAUGCUUCCUGACUGAUGAUGUUAUAAUAGUGCCCAGAAGCCAGAAGGCUGCAUUUUCAGCUGAACAUACCUGAGUUGUCCCCAUCACCAUGGAGACCCGAAAAGAUGAAGCUACUCAGGCCAAGGGAGCAGCAGCCUCUGUGGAUACCCAGAACCAAGGGUCAGAGAAAGGAGCCAAGAACAAGGCAGCUGAGACAACAGAAGGGCCAGGGUCAGAGCCACCCUCAUCUGGCCCAGGUAGGCUGAAGAAAACUGCCAUGAAACUCUUUGGUGGCAAGAAGGGCAUCUGUACCCUGCCUAGUUUCUUUGGAGGGGGACGGAGCAAAGGUUCUGGGAAAAGCAGCUCCAAGAAGGGUAUUAGCAAGAGCAGGACCCAUGAUGGCUUGAGUGAAGCAGCCCGUAGCCAAGAAGACAUUGUCAGUGAAGGAACUGGCCUCUCCUUACCUUUGCCUGAGUCACCCUGCCAACUUCCCAGUUCUCAGAGUGCCCAUGGGGCUUUGGAGACAGGUUCCAAAUGCAAGAUGUCUGUGGCUGGAGCCAUAGAGAAAGCUGGGGUUGAAAAGGUUUCCUCUGUGACCAAGCCAAAGAAAGGCCUGAAAGGUUUUUUCAGCAGUAUUCGCCGUCACCGGAAGAAUAAGGUCUCUGGUGCUGAGCAAAGUGAGCCAGGAGCCAAGGGACCUGAGGAGGCCAGAGCCAGGCCUCAUGGGAACGUGAGCUCAGCCCUUCUGUCCCAUGCUGAGGAAACCCUUCAAGACCCAAGAAAGGAAAAUUCCAAACCCCAAGAUGCCCCUGGACCAAAAGUUUAUUCAGCAUCAGAGCUUUCUCCAGCAGCCACUGAGAAGACAACCUGUAAAAAUCCAGAGCAACCAAUGGGGGUCUGUGCCUCAGAACUCUUGGAGUCCAAGCCUGCCCCUGAAGCAAGUGUCCCAGAAGAGCCUCAGAGCUUAGAAACAGGGGAGAAGGUGCUGGUAGGGGAUAUAAAUCUACUCAAUGGCCCUGUUGGGGACCAACUGAGCCUCUUCUUUGGAGAUGUCACAUCCCUUAAAAGUUUUGACUCACUGACAGGUUGUGGUGACAUCAUAGCAGAGCAGGACAUGGACAGUAUGACAGACAGCAUGGCCUCUGGAGGCCAGAGGGCCAACCGAGAUGGGACCAAGCGAAGUUCUUGCCUGGUUACCUAUCAAGGAGGUGGGGAGGAGAUGGCCUUGCCAGAUGAUGAUGAUGAGGAAGAAGAGGAGGAAGAGGAUGUUGAAUUAGAGGAGGAGGAAGAAGAAGUCAAAGCAGAAGAUGAUGACUUAGAAUAUCUGUGGGCAAGUGCUCAGAUGUACCCAAGACCCAAUAUGAAUCUGGGCUACCAUCCCACCAUUUCACCAGGCCACCAGGGCUACAUGCUGUUUGACCCAGUUCGGUCUUAUCCUUGCCUAGCUCCUGGAGACCUUUUGACUCCUCAGAGUGACCAGCAAGAAUCUGCCCCCAAUAGUGAUGAGGGAUAUUAUGAUUCAACCACACCUGGAUUUGAGGAUGACUCAGGGGAGGCUCUGGGGCUUAUCCGCAGGGAUUGCCUGCCCCGAGACAGCUACAGUGGAGAUGCCCUCUAUGAAUUCUAUGAGCCAGAUGAUAGUCUUGAGAACUCCCCACCUGGGGAUGACUGCCUUUAUGACCUCCAUGGUCGCAGCUCUGAGAUAUUUGACCCCUUCUUGAACAUUGAGCCCUUUUCUUCUUCUCGGCCACCUGGGACAAUGGAGACAGAAGAGGAACGGCUAGUGACCAUACAGAAGCAGUUGUUGUAUUGGGAACUUCGGCGGGAGCAGCUCGAAGCCCAAGAGGCCCGGGAGGCACACACCAGGGAGGCCUAUACCCAAGAAACUCAUGCAAGGGAGGCUCAUGCCCGAGAAGCCCAUACCCAGGAAGCUCAUGUGAGAGUGGCCCGAGCCCGAGAGUCCUAUGCCAGGGAGGCUUGUGCCCGAGAGGCCUGUGCUAGGGAGGCCCAGGCCCGAAAGGCUCGUGAUCGAGAGGCCCAAGUCAGACAGCUCCAGGUACGGCAAGAGAAGCCCAUUAUGGAGUAUCAGAUGAGACCUUUAGGCCCAUCAGUGAUGGGCCUGGUGGUAGGGGCAUCAGGGGCUUCUCAGACUUCACACCGAGGAACCACGUCAGCUUUCCCUACCACUGCAAGCAGCGAGCCAGACUGGAGGGACUUCCGUCCUCUGGAGAAGCGUUUUGAGGGAACCUGCUCCAAGAAAGAUCAAAGUACCUGCCUGAUGCAGCUCUUCCAGAGUGAUGCUAUGUUUGAGCCAGACAUGCAAGAAGCAAAUUUUGGAGGAUCUCCCAGGAGGGCCUACCCUACUUAUUCACCCCCUGAAGAGCCAGAGGAAGAAGAGGUUGAGAAGGAAGGGAAUGCCACUGUGAGUUUCUCACAAGCCCUUGUGGAGUUCACCAGCAAUGGGAACCUCUUUUCCAGCAUGUCCUGUAGCUCUGACUCUGACUCAUCCUUUACUCAAAACCUCCCUGAGCUGCCCCCCAUGGUGACUUUUGACAUUGCUGAUGUAGAACGGGAUGGGGAAGGCAAAUGUGAAGAGAAUCCUGAAUUACACAAUGAUGAGGACCUUGCAGCCUCUUUGGAAGCUUUUGAACUGGGCUACUACCAGAAACAUGCCUUUAACAACUACCGCAGCCGAUUCUACCAAGGUCUGCCCUGGGGUGUGAGUAGUCUCCCUCGAUACUUGGGACUGCCUGGCAUGCACCCACGACCCCCACCUGCUGCCAUGGCCCUCAACAGGAGGAGUCGCUCCCUUGAUACUGCAGAGACCCUGGAGCAGGAACUAUCCAAUUCCCACCUUGCCCAGGGCUACGUGGACCCCGAUGAGCUUCAGGCUCAACAGGAAGAUUCAGAUGAAGAAGACGAGGAAGAAUGGGGCAGAGACAGCCCCUUGUCCCUCUAUACUGAACCUCCCGGGGCCUAUGACUGGCCUUCCUGGGCUCCCUGUCCUCUCCCAGUGGAGACAGCCCCUGCCUGGAUAAGUACCAGCCAGUUGGAUGGGCCUUCUAGCCAGUCUCCAUAUAGGCAAGCAGCCUGUUGCGUACCUCCUGUGGCUAUGUCAGUAUUGCUGUCAGUAUCAGAGCCAGAGUCAAGGGCAGCCGGGGAAUCUGGGCCUCAACUAGCUCGGCCUUCGCACCUACCCCUUCCCAUGGGCCCUUGUUAUAAGCUCCAGCCACAGGCCUCCCAAAGUGUAAGGGCCAGGCCUCGAGAUAAGCUUCUGUCUGCUGAUGAGCCCAGUUACUCCUCCAGUUCUGGAGGCUUCAGUUCCAGCCCUCUACCCCAGGUCAAGCCUGUGGGCAUUACCCAUGGCAUCCCUCAGCUGCCCAGGAUCCAGCCUGAACCUCUGCAUCCUCAGCCCAUUCACUAUGGGGCUUCCAGCCUUGAUCUGUCAAAGGAGAAGGCUGAGCAUUGUGCCUCUCCACCAGAAUGGAAACCUAGCUGAGCAGUCAUCAUCAAUUCUGGAGUGGGCGCAUGGGGCCUGAGCAUGGGAAUGGGGAUCAGGGAUUGGGCAGAGGGGUUUGAGGGUGGGGGUUGAAAAUCCUUUUGGCCAAGAAAAACUCCUAUGAGUUUUCACCUUCAUUUUCCCACUUCCCUCUUCUGCCAUCUGUGGCCACAUUCAGCUCAGUAUAUCUGCCCCAGGAGGGUGCUGCUGCUGUGCUCCAAUUUUUGCUUUCAGGGUUUCUUCUUGUGACCCAUGUAAGGUUUGGGAUGCUGUAAUUUUGUGCCUAUUCCAGUUGCCAAGUUAGUGAGUUUAUAUAUAGCAUGCAUCCUUGACAGAGGCUGAACCCUUAGUGCCCCCUGCCACCCCACUACCCAGUGAAUGAUGAACAGCCAGAUUUGCACUGCCUUCUAUGUGGGGACAGGGGGCUUGUUUGCUGUUAGCAAUGUGAAAUUAUGGUACAGACCCUCUCCACCCCCACUCCAUCCUGUCUUGGCAUAGCUGCCACUAUUAUAUCAAAUGACUAUAAUCUAUUUGUCCCAGCUAGCUGUCCUUAGAAAGGAUCAUGUAGCAUAUAUUUCACUGCUUACUGCUGUGGACUUUGGCAUCAUAACCAGAUGGGGCCUUUAAAUCUGGCCUGCCAUAGCUUGGGAUGAAGAAAAAAAAUGCUAAUCCCCUUAAUGGAGUGAUCAAAUUAAUCCAGUUGCAAACAGAAGACAAAAUAGGGCUUCUAUUAUAGACACUGCUGUAAGUUUUGAGCUCUGGAAUGAUAGGAUUUUUUUCUUUUUCCUCUCUUAAGCUUGUGACUUCCAAAGUUGCAGGUGCUUUUAAAUUUUGGUUCUUUUUUUCCUCCAAAGGAAAUUUUCAUAAUUUCAUCACAAAGAAUACAUUAUUUUAAUUGAGAUAUGAGAAGAGAAGCAGCCUAAAUUAGGCUUGGCUAUAGGAGUUAGGGUUUUUGCAGGUUCCAGGGGAAGGAUAGGAAAUGGAGGUCCAUUUGUCCUAUUCAGUGGGAAAGAGGAUUUCAGAUUUUGCAGAGCUCGAGGCAACCCAGCUUCUUAGAAGGGAAAAUUUCCCCCACAAAACACAAAAAGUUCCUUAUGCCUUGCCCACCCAUUCAUUUAUAUGCUGUAAAGAGGCUCUGGACAGCACUCCCAAGAACGGAUAACAAAGACAUCUAGGCUGUUGUUCUGGACUCAAGAAUUUUCAUUUUCCAAUUAUCUAAGUCCUUAGCAUCAUCAAAGGACCAGGCUUCUUGAUAGGAAAGACUGUGAUCUGCCCUCACUCUGCCAAGCUUCAGGAUGCUCAUUUAGAUGGCAGUUGCAGCCUUUUAUGGAAUGAAUGCACCCUCUUUUCUCCUGCAUCCACACAAUUCUAAUGUUAAACUAGCUUAGAAAUACUGGUGGGGAAAAGUCCUGCCAGGAAGACAUUGCAACAGGCUAAUCUUACCAGGCUCAGCCUCUCAAUCACCAAUAUGAGAGGGUUCCUUUUAAAUUUCUUUAUUGGAAAUAGCAUAUGGAACAUAUUUUGUCUGGAUGUGUUGACCCAAAUUAUGAUCCUUGCUCCUCCCAUGGCCACUCCUGUUCUUGCACUUACCCCUCCCCAUUUCCUUGCCUGUUAAGAGAAGAGGUCAACAGGGCUCCUGAGAUGGUAAUUUGGCUUGUGAAUAGAUGCCAUUGCCUUCUCCCCUCCAGUCCCAAAGGUGACUUUGCACAAAUUGCUCCUUUGCCAGGAGAUAUGUUUGUACUGGUCUUUGUCACCAUUUCUCAGAUUGGGGUUGGCCCAGUGCCCCUCCCCACAAAUCAGGCUUGGCUGGUAGUAGCUGUACCCCUAGAAGCAUCACAUAAGUUUGCAUGGCAUUAAACACUACCACACAAGGGACCCAGACCAGCUCUCUAGGCUGACUUUGCAUCAUGAAGAAAUGUAUCAGUUAUGGAGCUGGAGAGUGAAAUAGGGUGAGGAAGGCCCUCCUCACACCAAGCACAGCAUUCCAGCAGAGAAGUGCCCAAAUUCCAACCUGUCCUUUCACCAAAGUUUCCCUAGGAAGAUGGGGCUGAAAUUGACCUGACUGUUUGGCAGGAAGUAAACACUCACCAAAUGCCUUUACAAUAGGGGAAAACCCACCACUUGCCUCCUCUGUCUCUGCUUGUGCUUUAGGGCAGCUCAAGCUCUUGACUGAAUGUGGACUGUGGCAGCCACAGCAGGUAAUAGAGCCAUCACCAGCCUCCAGAACUCAAUGGGCCAUCAGCCUAUCUGGGAAGAGAAAAAUUAGGUGCUCAGCAUUUAGCCAGGGGCUGAGAGUUGCCCUCAGUGACAAGAGGGCAGCAAGAGGUGCUGCCUCUGAUGGGAGCCAUCAUAGCCCAGGCAUACAUUUCUGGGCUUUGGAAGUUUGCAUACCACAGAAUGGGGUCUAGGACUGAGUAGCAGCUUAUGGUUUGGACAUUGCUGCCUGUAAGUUUUUUCACUGUCCUGGCCAGCCCAGGGAUAGGAUCCUCACUAUAAGAAGUGGGGAAGUUAGAGGUCAUGGCUACAGAAGCAGACUCCUCUAGAAUCUCAUUCUGGGUCUAAGUAGUUCCUGGCCAAAUCCCAGCUGCAGGUUGAAGAGGAAGAAAGACCUGCUAGGGACAUGUGAUGGCAGUGCAGGGUGACCCUGGGAGAGCCAGCCAAGCUCCAGGCCUCUUCCCAAGUGCUUGUUGGCUGACACCAAAUAUGCCCUGAAUAUAGGUGUCAAUGUCAAGUCCAUACUUAGGUUGUGACCAGACAAACACCAUGUCUGCAUUGCAAGGUCUUGGGAUACUGCUUUUGGAUGAGACUUCAAGGGAAGAUAUGACUUGAGUGGAGGUGGCUGCCCUCAUCUCUCUACCCAGCAGGCUUAUUUAGUGCCAGACAGCUCUGAUCGUGAUAAUUCCCAAAAGAGACUGGUUCAUUGGGGACCAGUGACGAUAGACAAGGCCACCUAGGAGGCCUCUCCAGGGCCGUCAGUUUCUCAGUGCUUUAGCACUUUGAGGAAGCCCUGCCUUAGUGCCCAGAUAGGGUCUGCUCUGCCCAACCAGUUCAUGAGUCUCCUGGGCCAAAGGCUUUGGUCAACACUAGUCUCCCUCCUCUGUGCUAUACCAAGGAGGAAGGUAGCUUCUCACAUGCAGGGUAUGUUUUCCCAUAUCCUGCUGCCAGCGACUUACCCACCCUUGCCAAUGCCACCACCCAACCUGCCCUUGGCCAGACCCAAUUGCUAGAGGGAGGCAUGGGGGGAUUAGCAGGGAGACUUCAAGUUUACCCAUGUCAAUGUUGCUUUCAAGUUGUUUUUAAUUAUAUAUAUAUAUAUAUAUAUAUAUAUAUAUAUAUAUAUUCAAAAGUCAAUUAUCUAUUUUUGUAUUAUUUGCAUUUUUAAUCAUGGAAAACAAUGUUUAUCAGUCGUUCUUUUCUGAUUUAUUUUUAAGCGGUGCUGUUUACAUUUUUAAACAAAACAAUGAUGACACAAAAAUUGCUGCUGCUUGUGCAGAGGGCUGGCAUCUCAACUGCCCAGAGCCCUCACUCUCCCCCUCUCCCCAGCCCUGAUGUAUCGCACUGUUCAUCACCUCCUUCCAUGAUAGGGGCAACAGAAGAUGCCCAGCAAGAGGAAGGAAGAGGAAGAGAGAGAAAUUUCAAUGUGAGAGUGGAAAUCCCCUACAAUCCCCAGCAAGUCCCCUACCAGGGAUCGAGCUUGCAACCUGGCCAUAUGUCCUGACCAGGAAUUGAAUCAGCAACCUUUCGGUGAACGAGAUGACACCCAGUCAACUGAGCCACACUGGCCAGGGCUAUUUUAUUUAUUUUAUUUUUCUAAUUGAAUUUAUUUGGGUGGCAUUGCUUAAUAAAACUAUGUAGGUUUAAGGUAUACAAUUCUAUAAUACAUUGUUGGUAUGUUGCAUUGUGUGUUCACCACCCCAAGUCGUAUUUCUCUCCAUCACCAUUUAUCCCCCUUUCCCCUCUCCUGCCUCCUCAAACCACCCCCUUCCCUCUGGUAAUGAUCAUACUGUUGUAUGUGUAUGAGGUUUUGUUUCUCCUUAAUCCCUUCACUUUUUCACCCAGCACUCCCUACCCCUUGACCUCUGGCUCCAAAUUUCUCAUCCUAACAGGAAAGCAGAAAAUUCUAUGUUAUUUAUGACUGGGAUCUCCUAAGAGUGGCACUGGAAUCUAGGGAGUGCUUGUGCUACUCAGAAAUUAGGGCAAAGACAACUAAUAUUUAUAACAGUCACCAUUGAGAUUCUCAUUUUCCAUGCCGUCAGUAUGGGAGGAAAAGCUGAAAGCCAUGAUGACUUAGAUUUUGCCUCCCUCUGGGUACAUUAGAGCCAUCUCCUCUCCAUCUUUGAAGCACUUCUGUGAGUAGAGCUUGAGUUCCUUCUGCCCUACACUCAAGAGCUCUUCCUUUCCAGAUGGGGCUGGGAAUGUUGGGAAUCUCUCUUCAUUUUCUCUCUCAGGCCUUUCCAAAGGCUCAUUCUUUUUCUUUAUGACAGUAUCUUCUCAGUGGGGAUUUCAGGUUUUUAUAAAAGAAUGAUAGAUUCAGUGGCGUCAGCCUGCUUCUGUUUUUCUACACUGAAAUCCCUCUUGCAAGAAGUCUAUCAAGAGUCUGGUUAUUUCCAUGGAGCAAAAGAAUGGGGGCAGAGCAUAGAUGGACAACAAGCACAAACAAACAUGAACACUUACAGAAAUUACACCACCACAAAAAUACUGCCUAUUAAAUGAUUUCACUGUCCUAGAUUUCAGGACACCAAAAUCCUAGUCCCUGAUUUGCCUGUAACUGAUGAAAAAACAGGUAAUUUCGUAGAGCUUCAGUUUCUUCACCUAUAAAUGAGAAGGUUGGAGAACAUAGAAUCUCAGGCUUAAAUCCUUUUUAGAUCCUCCCCCUUUGAUGCUUACAUUAGUCCUAUGCUGUCUGUCUUGUUCCUGCUUGCCUUCACUGGCAUAAGAUAUCUCUUCUUACAUUGAGCUGCAAUUAGCCUAGCUUAGUCCCUGGGAACCACAUAGAUUUUGUCUGCUGUCUACACUCUUUGCCCUAUAACAGCCCUUUUGGAUACGACAGGAGAGAUAUUCUGUGACUUAACAAAUAUUAAGUACAUUUAUAUGCCAGGUUAUUUUCUAGUUGCUGAGGGUGCAGCAGUGAACAAGAGAGAUAAAAACCCUAUACUCAUUAGGAUUAUUUUCGGAGGGCAGAUAAUAACCAAAAUAAAUCAGUAAAAGACAUAGUAUGUCAGAUAGUGAUGGUACAACGGGGAAAAAUGAAGGAAGGAGAGACAGAAGAUUGCAACUUAAAAUAGAGUGGUCAAUCAUAUUAAUUCUUCCUAUCCAUGGACAUGGUGUAUGCUUUCGCUUCUUUGUGUCUUCUUCAAUUUCUUUCUUCAGUGUCUUGUAAUUUUCCAAGUACAGGUCCUUUACAUUACCUGGUUAAAUUUAUUCCCAGGUAUAUUUUGAAGCGAUUAUAAAUGGGAUUGUUUACUUAGUUUUCCUUUCUGAUAGUUCAUUAUUGGUGUAUAAAAAUGCAACUGAUUUCUGAAUAUUUAUUUUGUACCUUGUUACUUUACUGAGUUCAUUGAUCAGUUCUAGCAGUUUUUUGUUUUGUUUUGUUUUUGUUUUUUGUGUGAAAUCUUUAGGGUUCUCUAUAUACAGUAUCAUGUCACCUGCAUAUAAUGACAGUUUUACUUCUUCCUUUCCAAUUUGGAUGCCUUUUAUUUCUUUUUCUUGUCUGAUUGCUGUGGCUAGGACUUCCAGUACUAGGCUGAAUAAGAGUGAUGAAAGCAGACAUCCCUUUUUGUUCCCAAUCUUAAGAGAAAUGCUUGUAAUUUUUGCCCAUCAAGUAUGAUGUUGGCUGUGGGUUUGUCAUAUAUGACAUUUGUUAUAUUGAGGUAUGUUCCCUCUAUUCCCCCUUU